This 1249-nucleotide long non-coding RNA is filed under the name Heterocephalus glaber (naked mole-rat). Its description in RNAcentral is "lncRNA (ENSHGLG00000039523.1)". The record is from RNAcentral. Lineage: Eukaryota; Metazoa; Chordata; Mammalia; Rodentia; Bathyergidae.
CCCUAAUAUGUCCUACAGAUGCUGUGAAACCCAUGAUCCCUGCCAAGAGCAGCAGCCAGAGAGCAAAGCCCCACAGGACAGGGAGCAGUGGUGCAGAGGUGAUCUGCUUGGUUCCAGUGAGGCUCCUGACCUGUGGUUCAAUGGCUCUGGACACAAGUGACUCUGAUCCUAGCAACCAGGCCUGGUGCUGGGAGAUGUGAAUUCUGAGCAUGGAGGGACUCGAAAGUCCAUCACAGUUGGGACCCAGCCUCACCUUGGCCAAGCAGAAAACCUUCCUAGCUGUGUGACCUUGGACAGCUUAAGUAAUUUUUCUGAAGUCAAGAUCUUUAUGACACUUAGGUCAGUUUCCCAAGGCUGAAUCCAGGACACUGAGCCACAAGCAAAAUUUGAAUAACUGAUAAUGAUCAGUGAGCUUGCUGUAUGUCCAGGACCAUGCUAAAUGAGACAUGUGUAUACAUGUAUUUGUAUAUGUAACAAGUGUGUAUACAAACAUACACAUAUAUAUUCUAAUUUAGCAAUCUCAAAAAUCCUAACAGGUGGACAUAUUAUCUUUAUCUUAUAGAUAUGGAGAGAGGUUGAGUAACAUCAAACCUAAUUUCUGGAACAAUAGCCAGUGGGGAGCAGAAAUCACACAAUGGCAGCAUAUUCUUCAGGACUGAAGAUAUAGCUCAGUGGCAGAGCACUUGCCUAGCAUGCAGAAGCCCCAAAGUUCAAACACCAGUACCAAAAAAAGAAAAUGUCUUUCACAUCCCAAUUGAUGCCUACCCUAUAUUAAAAUCCCCUGAAAGUGCCGGGGAUUUAGCUCAGUGGUUUCACCACCUACUUCGCAAGCACAAGGACCCAAGUUCUAUCCUCAGUACCAAAAAAAAAAAGGUCAUGCCAAUUAAAGGUGGAACUGAUAUGAAGCAUAAGGGAGUAGAGGCAACCUGCUGAGGAGUGUUGAAUAACCAGAAGACCAGUUAUACCAGUAUUGAAGUGGGAGCAGUAGCUUUAACUAUCAUAAUCUUAUGUGGAUGUAAAGCACCUUGAAAUAAAGUAUGACCAGAGCACUGUUAUUUAUUUUAUCAAUCAUAGUUGUCUUCGAUGUUAAAUUCCUAUAGAAUGUCAACAUAUAAUAAUUAUAAAGUUUUACAGGUAAAAUUUGAGAUCAAGGGCCAGGGAUUUAACUCAGUGGCACUGUGCUUGUCUCGCAAGUGCAAGGUCCUGAGUUCGAUACCUGGUACAAAAGAAAAAAAUUGAGAUCAAGGGC